RNAcentral lists this ribosomal RNA (386 nucleotides) under Agrobacterium tumefaciens. RNAcentral describes it as "bacterial SSU rRNA". It matches the Rfam family "Bacterial small subunit ribosomal RNA", at positions 1003 to 1378 of the family's 1533-position model. The record is from RNAcentral. Lineage: Bacteria; Pseudomonadati; Pseudomonadota; Alphaproteobacteria; Hyphomicrobiales; Rhizobiaceae.
GACAUUGACCUUCAGCUUAGGCUGGCCCCACAACAGGUGCUGCAUGGCUGUCGUCAGCUCGUGUCGUGAGAUGUUGGGUUAAGUCCCGGAAAGGAGGGGCAACCCUUNGGCCCUUAGUUGCCAGCAUUUAGUUGGGCACUCUAAGGGGACUGCCGGUGAUAAGCCGAGAGGAAGGUGGGGAUGACGUCAAGUCCUCAUGGCCCUUACGGGCUGGGCUACACACGUGCUACAAUGGUGGUGACAGUGGGCAGCGAGACAGCGAUGUCGAGCUAAUCUCCAAAAGCCAUCUCAGUUCGGAUUGCACUCUGCAAUCGAGUGCAUGAAGUUGGAAUCGCUAGUAAUCGCAAGAUCAGAUGCUGCCGGUGAAUACGUUCCCGGGGUCUUGU